GACGAACGCUGGCGGCGUGCUUAACACAUGCAAGUCGAACGGAAAGGCCCUGCUUUUGUGGGGUGCUCGAGUGGCGAACGGGGGAGUAACACGUGAGUAACCUGCCCUUGACUUUGGGAUAACUUCAGGAGACUGGGGCUAAUAUCGGAUAGGAGCUCCUGCUGCAUGGUGGGGGUUGGAAAGUUUCGGCGGUUGGGGAUGGACUCGCGGCUUAUCAGCUUUUUGGUGGGGUAGUGGCUUACCAAGGCUUUGACGGGUAGCCGGCCUGAGAGGGUGACCGGCCACCUUGGGACUGAGCUACGGCCCAGUCUCCUACGGGAGGCAGCAGUGGGGAAUAUUGCACAAUGGGCGGAAGCCUGAUGCAGAAACGCCGCGUGCGGGAUGACGGCCUUCGGGUUAUGAACUGCUUUCGCCUGUGACAAAGCGUGAGUGACGGUAAUGGGUAAAGAAGCACCGGCUAACUACGUG
RNAcentral lists this ribosomal RNA (468 nucleotides) under uncultured bacterium. Its description in RNAcentral is "partial 16S ribosomal RNA". It matches the Rfam family "Bacterial small subunit ribosomal RNA", at positions 28 to 507 of the family's 1533-position model. The record is from RNAcentral.